Dama dama (fallow deer) is the source of this 2936-nucleotide long non-coding RNA. RefSeq lists it as uncharacterized. The transcript has 3 exons. NCBI's taxonomy places the organism in Eukaryota, Metazoa, Chordata, Mammalia, Artiodactyla, Cervidae. The record is from RefSeq and is a predicted model, not a curated record.
AAAAAGCUCUGGGAGAGGAAGAGAAGGUUGUUCUGGGUGGGCGGCCGUGGGAGGAGUCAGUUCCUUAUGCAAAUCGCAGAGGCGCGCCAGAGCUAAGGGGGCGGGGCUUGCGAUGCAAAGCCGGGUCCCCCCUUAGGAAGCGCGAGGGGGCGGGCCCCGCCACUGUCGGCCUCCUUCCGCGAGUCUCUGACGUCAGCGACGUCGCUUUUAAAUGCGGCCGCGCAGGCGCAGUGAGCCGAAAUGCGAACUUAGGCUGUUACACAACUGCUGGGGUCUGCUCUCGCCGCCCGCCCGGCAGUCCGUCAGCCUCGCCGCCGCUGUCGCCGCCUCAGCGGUUCCGGUAGUCUAGAGCCCGCCCCAUCACCUUUCCCCCGCGCCUCCCGGAGCCUCCGGGUGUCUCCUGUCCGCCCGCACAGGCCGGCCGCGACCGUCUGCGUCUUCUCGGCGCCCCUCGCCGCUCCGGCCGACAUGAGUGGGGACCACCUCCACAACGAUUCCCAGAUCGAGGCGGAUUUCCGACUGAAUGGGGCUCUUCCUGACCCAAGGAUCAAAUCCACUUCUCUUGCGUCUACCUGCAUUGGCAGGCGGAUUCUUUACCUCUGCAUCACCUGGGAAGCCCAUUACUAUUGUUGGCUGCUGCUGCUGCUAAGUCACUUCAGUCGUGUCCGACUCUGUGCGACCCCAUAGACGGCAGCCCACCAGGCUUCCCCGUCCCUGGGAUUCUCCAGGCAAGAACACUGGAGUGGGUUGCCAUUUCCUUCUCCAAUGCAUGAAAGUGAAAAGUGAAAGUGAAGUCGUUCAGCCGUGUCUGACUCUUAGCGACCCCAUGGACUGCAGCCUACCAGGCUUCCCCGUCCCUGGGAUUCUCCAGGCAAGAACACUGGAGUGGGUUGCCAUUUCCUUCUCCAGUGCAUGAAAGUGAAAAGUGAAAGUGAAGUUGCUCAGUCGUGUCCGACUCUGUGCGACCCCAUAGACGGAAGCCUACCAGGCUCCUCCGUCCAUGGGAUUUUCCAGGCAAGAGUACUGGAGUGGGGUGCCUUUGCCUUCUCCACAUAGUAGUGUUAUGUAUGGUGAUUUGAACUCUAGAAAAUGAUUGAGACUAAAGGUUAGAUUUACUUUGCCUUAUUCUUACAGUGUGUUUUUGCAGGAAUAGAUGCAACAGCAGUAGUUCUUGCUAUUUAACAUCAACAUUUUCAGUUUUAGUUAACCAGGAAAGAAAACAAAAAGAGGGAGGAGAAGCCCGGCUGGUCUUUAACUGCUGGCUUGUUACACUUGACUUUAAACUGAAAGCUCUCUAAGGCCACACACCCCAGCUCUGAAAAGAAAAGUCUCCCAGUUAACUCCCUUAGCAUACAGAAGAUGGGGUGGCCUCAUCAGAGAUUCAGCUGGCGAUGGUUUCAGUUCAGUUGCUCAGUCAUGUAAGACUCUUUGCGACCCCAUGGACCACAGCACGCCAGGCUUCCCUCUCCAUCACCAACUCCCGGAGCUUGCUCAAACUCAUGUCCAUCGAGUCGGUGAUGCCAUCCAACCAUCCUAUCCUCUGUUGUCCCCUUCUCCUCCUGCCUUCAGUCUUUCCCAGCAUCAGGGAGUCAGUUCUUUGCAUCAGGUGGCCCAAGUAUUGGAGCUUCAGCAUCAGUCCUUCCAAUGAAUAUUCAGGGCUGAUUUCCUAUUUAGGAUUGACUGGUUUGAUCUCCUUGCAGGUGAUGGUUUGACCAUAAUUAAUUACUCUUUCCACCUAAAAAUCAAACCACCUUUUUCCCUUAAGUACAGUGUGUUAUAAAAAUCGGCACUUCCACAGAACUUUAUAAUCUUUUACAGAUGUUAGCAUCUUCCUAAUCUCAGAAUGUCAGGGAAGUUGUCUAUUAGCAGAAAUGUGCUUGUUUUGUCUAUGGGGAAAGAGAUUCUGGUUGGGUGAACAAGAGGCUAAAAAUUUUCCUUAGAUAGUCUGGAAAAUGUUAAAGAGCUUAUUUAGGACUGGAGCUAACUCCUUGAAUUUAGAUGUCAUGUAGUUUGUAUUGAGCUCAAGUUUUUAGGGGAAUAGUUUAAAGUAUAAUAUGAUGAACUAUGUCUACAAGUGAUUGAAAAAUAUGUCUAUGAGUGUGUGUUUGCAUAAAAAAGACUAGGGGACUAUCAAACAGAAUCCAUGCUGAUUGCACAUGUGUAACUAUGCACGCCUGUAGGUGUUGUACAAAAAGAUAAUUUUGGUCAUGGGUUUCCCUGGUGGUCCAGUGGGUUAAGACUCUGCACUUGUAAUGCACAGGUCUCUGGUCCGAUCCCUGGUUGGGAAUGCAUGCUGCACACUGUCUGACCUAAGACACGAAAUAAAUGGUAAAGUUUAAAAAAGUUUUUGCUCAGUGUGUUUAUUGAAAACUGUAUUUUUUUUCUUAAAAGGCCUUCUGCAGCAACCAUAUUUCCCAGAAAAAAGUUCAGUGUGUGUUCUUCUCCCACAAGUCUGUAAUCACGUUUUGUUCUGUUAAAAUGUUCCUUUUACCCAGGAAUACCUCUUUAGUCUUUAGAUUUGGUGUGUGUGCCCACUCAGUAACUACCCCAUGGACUGUAGCCCACCAGGCUCCUCUGUUCAUGGAAUUUUCCAGGCAGGAAUAUUGGAGUGAGUUGCCAUUUCUUCCUCCAGGGGAUCCAUCUCCUGCAUUGGCAGGUGGAUUCUUUACUACUGUGCCACCUGGGAAACCCAGAAUUUGGUAUUCCAUCUCCAUUUUCCUACCUGUUUUUAGGAAAGCAUUAAGAAUUGUAAACUCCUUGGGGGUUAGAAACAUCCCAGAGCCUGCUUCAGUGUUGAAGGCAUAGCCUUAAUGCUCAGUUUCCUUUCCAGUGAAAUCUGCCUGUAGUCAACUCUUAAACCCAAGCCAGAAGUAACCACUUUUCUCUGGCUUUCACUGAGCCCUUUAUUGUUCUCUUCCAGUUUUUCAUUCUGGAGA